This 840-nucleotide ribosomal RNA is filed under the name Triticum aestivum (bread wheat). RNAcentral describes it as "partial small subunit ribosomal RNA". The record is from RNAcentral. Lineage: Eukaryota; Viridiplantae; Streptophyta; Magnoliopsida; Poales; Poaceae.
AUGAGGAACUUAAAAGACGAAAGAACUAAGAUUUUUCCCUCAACUACGAGGGGAGGUAAGGAACUGCCAUCUAGCUCUGCACUAGAUUCUCCUUCCGUUUUGAGUAAGCUUGCGACACCUAAACCUGCUACUGCUAUGAAUUCUGAUAUGUCACAUGUUAUUGAUGAUGCCACUUCUGCUAUGCAUGAUACUUAUGCUGAAACUACUUCUGUGCUUGAUACUACUUUGCCAUUAGGUGAAUUCCUAGAUGAACAACUUGCUAGGGUUAGAGAGAAUGAAAUUAUUGAAGAUGAAAUUAUCGAUGAUAGUGAUGAUGAAGGUUCUCCCCCUAAGUAUGAAUUGCCUGUUGUUCCUGACGGUUAUGUUAUGGAUGAAGAAACUGCUAGAGAUUUUCUUGCUUGCAAUGAUAGAUCUGAUCUUAAGAAGUUACUAGCUAAACUUAAACAGAAAACUCUGAAUGCUAGAAUGAAAUAUGACCCUCCUUUUGAUACUUCACCUAUUUUUGUUACUGAUAAGGAUUAUGAAUUCUCUGUUGAUCCUGAGAUAAUUACUUUGGUUGAAUCUGAUCCUUUUUAUGGCAAUGAAUCUGAAACUGUUGUGGCACAUCUUACUAAGUUAAAUGAUAUAGCCACCCUGUUCACUAAUGAUGAGAAGUCUCGCUACUAUUAUAUCCUUAAGAUAUUUCCGUUCUCAUUAAAGGGUGAUGCUAAAACUUGGUUUAAUUCUCUUGAUCCUAGUUGUGUGCGUAGUCUCCAGGAUAUGAUUUAUUACUUCUCUGCUAAAUAUUUCCCUGCUCAUAAGAAACAAGUUGCCUUGCGGGAAAUAUAUAAUUUUGUGUAA